Molecule: long non-coding RNA, 3227 nt
Filed under: Homo sapiens (human)
Lineage: Eukaryota; Metazoa; Chordata; Mammalia; Primates; Hominidae
Description: HSALNT0214502
Source: RNAcentral
GUAAACUUCUCUCUCCAUGCCCCCAGUACUCCCAGAUGUGUUUUCUAUCUUUCCCCACCAUCUCUUUCCAUUCCUUAGUAUGGAAUUAGUAUGAGCUCUCUUCUAACAUGAAAUAAUACUUUUUAUUUACAAAGAGAGUGAGCAAAUACAGGGUUUAAUCAGCAGGUAGAACAGAGUAAAUCUGGGGACAAUCACACUUUAAUAAUUUUUCUGACCACUUAAUUGUAUAAUUCAUUAUUUGUCUUAUUAUUUAAACUGAAUCACAAUAGCCUGCUUUUAUGUAGUUCUUUGUCAAUUCCAAAGUGUUUUAUAGCCAUAACUCCUUUAAUGCUCACCACAAGAUAAGUAUUUUGAUUAGCACCCAUUUUGCAGAUGAGGAAACUGGGACCAAGAGAAAUGAAAUGAAAUGAAAUUUUCCAGAGUCACAGAGCUGAAAAAGAGAACCUGGAUUCCAAGCCAGGUUCUAUGGCUCCAAGGGAAGGGAUGCCCCAUUAUCCCUGCACUGAACCUCCUUCAGAUUUGUCCUGCUUUUUAGGGGACCUGGGAAUUCUGUCAAUGGGUUUGUAGCAAAUGUCUGGUGAGGCUGCAGAGCUGGGACUGGGAUAACACAAGGGAGGUGCCUAGGACGCUCUCUAUUUCUCUCUCUCUCUCUCUCUCUCUCUCUCUCUCUCUCUCUAUACUUACCUUUGCAGCCCAUCCGCUAUGUUGUGAGUAAGCCAAGUCCACUUGGAGAAACCAUAUGUAGGCACUCCAGCCAAUUGCCGCAGCUAAGGUUUCUGCCAACAGUCAGCCUCAACCUCCAGUCAUGGUCAGAAGGUCUUGGAAAAUGUUGAUGCUGAUUUGCUGCCUUGGACACCAGGAAGCGGUGGUGCACGGAAGGGCUUGAAGACGCGGGUGCUCCUUCAUCGCUGGUCGGUAGAGUCCUUCACCCUUGGUCUGGAGGUCAGGCUGUGGUUGCUGCGGUGCAUUCUCUCAGCUGGGAGACCAUCCCUGCAUGCGCUGUGAGAGGAGACAUGAGGCCUGCAGACCUGCUAGAAGCUGGGGGGAACACCGCCGGGUCCACUGUCGGACAAAGUAUUUGACUUUCAAGUGAAAACCAAACCUAGGGCACAAAGGAGAAAGUAUAGAUGUCAGGUACUGACAGGGCUGUAUUUAAACCUCAUCUUUGGUUCUUUCUAAUUCUGUGACUUUAACACAAGCUGCUGCGCCUUUGUUUUCUCAUCUGCAAACUGGGGACAGUAAUGGUUGUCGUAGGAUCUCAGAAAGACGAUGGAUGUAUAAAAAGAUGUUGAGAGACAUCUUUCCGUAUCUCAGGAAUUGGAAUCAAUACUCAGCCACUCAGUAAAUACUGAAUACCUGCUAUGCACCAGGCACUGGUUCAGGCUUGUGGGAUAUACCAGUGCUAUAGAUGGAAUGUUUGUGCCCAAGAUUCAUAUGUUGAAACCUAAUCCCCAACAUGAUAGUAUUUGGAGAUGAGGCUUUUGGGAGGUGAUAAGUCAUGAGGGUGGAGCCCUCGAAUGGGAUUAUUGCCCUUAUAAAAGAAUCUCCCGAGAGACCCUCACUCUUUCUACCAUGUGAAGACACGAAAAGAUGGUUAUCUAUGGACCAGGAGACAGACCCUCACUAGACACUGAACCUUGCCAGUGCCUUCAUCUUGGACUUCCCAGCCUCCAGAACCAUGAGCAAUAAAUGUCUGCUGCUUAAGCAACCCAGCCUAUGGUAUUCUGUUAUAGCAGCCUGCAUAGACUAAGACAAUCAGUGAACAAAACAAAGAAAGCACCUCCUCUCAAGGGGCUUCUAUUUUGGCAGUGGAGACAAAAAAUAAACAACAAACAUAAUGAUGUAAAUUAUAUAGUGUGUUAGCAGGUGAUAAAUGUUAUGAAAAAAAGAUAAAAGAGUAGGGCAGGGCAUAGGCACUUGGGAGUGCCACAGUCAGAGAGCAGUUUGCAAUAUUAAAUAGAGUGAUCAGGGCAGACUCAUGGAGAAGGGGAGCUCUGAGCAAAUGCUUCGGAAAUCAAGAAUAUGUCUGUUGAAUAAAGAGUUGUUUGACCCUGGGCAAGUCACAUACAGCCACUGAGCCUCAGUUUCCUCAACUGUAGUUAACAAAAGCUGCUUCUCGGGAUUGUUGUGAGUUUUACAGGAAAUCAGAUUUGUAAUAGCGUAGAGCUUUGCAUCUAGUGGAUGCUCAGUACAUGCGUAUUAUGAGGGGAACAAUAGUGGUUUUUCUUUUUGGUAAAGAAUUGCUCAUUAAAUUAAUUUACAUGGUAAAUUAGGGGACCCACCCCUGAUACCUCGUGGGUUAGCCUCUGAAGCUCAGUCAAUGUGUACCACAGAAAUCACCCCAGUAGCACCAAGAACCUCCAUGAAAUGUCAGAUACUGGGGACCCCAGAGACUUUUCCAGACAUUACCCCCAAAUCAGAAGACUACUUUGAUUCCAGGUGUGUGUGUGUUGCUAUUGUUGUUGGGCUGAGAAAGUGGAUUGGGAGUGUUGCUAGCUCAAAUAAAUGUGCUUCUUAUAAGAGCUUUUGGCGCGAUCUCGACUCACUGCAAGCUCCGCCUCCCGGGCUCACGCCAUUCUCCUGCCUCAGCCUCCCGUGUAGCUGGGACUAUAGGCACGCGCCACCAUGCCCGGCUAAUUUUUGUAUUUUUUUAGUAGAGACGGGGUUUCACCGUGUUAGCCAGGAUGGUCUCGAUCUCCUGACCUCGUGAUCCGCCCGUCUCGGCCUCCCAAAGUGCUGGGAUUACAGGCGUGAGCCACCGCGCCCGGCCGAGCUUUUGGUUUUCUGUCCCCCACUCCCUGCAGGCAGAGCCUGCAUAAUUUGUGGGGGGAAAAUGUGGAGCUCCAUUUCUCCAAGCAAAAGGAAAGUUUCAUUAAAAGUACUAAAUAGGCCAGGCAUGGCGGCUCACGCCUGUAAUCCCAGCACUUUGGGAAGCUGAGGUGGGCAGAUAGCUUGAGCUCAGGUGUUUGAGACCAGCCUGGCUAAAAUGGUGAAACCCCAUCUCUACCACAAAUACAAAAAUCAGCCGGGCAUGGUGGUGUGUACCUGUGGUCCCAGCUACUCGGGAGAACGAGGCAGGAAGAUUGCUUCAGCCUGGGAGGCAGAGGUUGCAGUGAGCCAAGAUUGCACCACUGCACUCCAACUUGGAUGACAGAGUAAGACCCCGUCUCAAAAAAAAAAAAAUUGUGCUAAAUAUAAAGCUUCUUUAUUCCAUGUUUUCUCUCUCU